Long non-coding RNA from Zingiber officinale, 349 nucleotides. RefSeq lists it as uncharacterized. The transcript has 2 exons. The record is from RefSeq and is a predicted model, not a curated record. NCBI's taxonomy places the organism in Eukaryota, Viridiplantae, Streptophyta, Magnoliopsida, Zingiberales, Zingiberaceae.
UAAAAUUGAAACCCUAGUGAUAAGAAAAGAGAACUUAAGUUUUCUUUUUCCCCAAACCUUUCUCUCCUUUUCUCCUCUUCCCUUCUGCGACGGCGCGGCGGCGAUUCCUUCUCGGGCGGAAACGAAGCCGAGCUUAGGGCUCAACUCCGGCGGUCGACGAGCACUCCUCUCCUUCGGUUCUUCACAGAUUCGAGGUCUCCUCGUUGAAGAGAGCUCGUGGGCAUGAGGAAGGGUUGGAAUUUGAAGUUUCUCCGCGAACCCUAGAGGUUUUCUCCUUCGGUUUGAAUUCAAGAAUCAGAUAAAGGAAAAGAAAAGAUUUAGCAAGGAAGGCGACAAGGUGGCGCGGAUG